This 307-nucleotide ribosomal RNA is filed under the name uncultured eukaryote. Its description in RNAcentral is "partial 18S ribosomal RNA". It matches the Rfam family "Eukaryotic small subunit ribosomal RNA", at positions 1470 to 1796 of the family's 1831-position model. The record is from RNAcentral.
CCCUUAGACGUUCUGGGCCGCACGCGCGCUACACUGACACAGGCAACGAGCUUUCCUUUACCGAAAGGUAUGGGUAAUCUUUUGAAACUGUGUCGUGCUGGGGAUAGAUCCUUGCAAUUUUUGAUCUUAAACGAGGAAUUCCUGGUAAGCGCGAGUCAUCAACUCGCGUUGAUUACGUCCCUGCCCUUUGUACACACCGCCCGUCGCUACUACCGAUUGAAUGGCUUAGUGAGGCCUCAGGAUCCGCGCUUAAUGUGUGGAGAAUUUGGACAAACUACGUCAUUUAGAGGAAGUAAAAGUCGUAACA